Molecule: ribosomal RNA, 468 nt
Filed under: uncultured bacterium
Lineage: Bacteria
Description: partial 16S ribosomal RNA
Rfam family: Bacterial small subunit ribosomal RNA
Source: RNAcentral
GACGAACGCUGGCGGCGUGCUUAACACAUGCAAGUCGAACGGCAAGGCCCUGCUUUUGUGGGGUGCUCGAGUGGCGAACGGGUGAGUAACACGUGAGUAACCUGACCUUGACUUUGGGAUAACUUCAGGAAACUGGGGCUAAUACCGGAUAGGAGCUCAUGCUGCAUGGUGGGGGUUGGAAAGUUUCGGCGGUUGGGGAUGGACUCGCGGCUUAUCAGCUUGUUGGUGGGGUAGUGGCUUACCAAGGCUUUGACCGGUAGCCGGCCUGGGAGGGUGACCGGCCACAUUGGGACUGAGAUACGGCCCAGACGCCUACGGUAGGCAGCAGUGGGGAAUAUUGCACAAUGGGCGGAAGCCUGAUGCAGCAACGCCGCGGGCGGGAUGACGGCCUGCGGGGUGUAAACCGCAUCCGCCUGUGACGAAGCUUGAGUGACGGUAAUGGGUAAAUAAGCACCGGCUAACUACGUG